UGGGGAAUAUUGCACAAUGGAGGGAACUCUGAUGCAGCGACGCCGCGUGAGUGAUGAAGGAAUUCGUUUCGUAAAACUCUGUUCUAUGGGAAGAAAAGGACUGUACCAUAGGAGAAAGCUCCGGCCAAAUACGUGCCAGCAGCCGCGGUAAUACGUAUGGAGCGAGCGUUGUCCGGAAUUAUUGGGCGUAAAGGGUGCGCAGGCGGCUUUACAAGUUGGAUGUGAAAUAUUGUGGCUCAACCACAAACGUGCAUCCAAAACUGCAAAGCUUGAGUUAAGGAGAGGUAAGUGGAAUUCCGGGUGUAGCGGUGGAAUGCGUAGAUAUCAGGAGGAAUACCGGGGGCGAAGGCGACUUACUGGACUUAAACUGACGCUCAGGCACGAAAGCGUGGGGAGCAAACAGG
This 404-nucleotide ribosomal RNA is filed under the name Fusobacteriota bacterium. RNAcentral describes it as "Fusobacteria bacterium partial 16S ribosomal RNA". It matches the Rfam family "Bacterial small subunit ribosomal RNA", at positions 355 to 776 of the family's 1533-position model. The record is from RNAcentral. Lineage: Bacteria; Fusobacteriati; Fusobacteriota.